Molecule: ribosomal RNA, 474 nt
Filed under: uncultured organism
Description: partial 16S ribosomal RNA
Rfam family: Bacterial small subunit ribosomal RNA
Source: RNAcentral
UACACUCCUGCGGGAGGCAGCAGUGGGGAAUUUUGGACAAUGGGCGAAAGCCUGAUCCAGCAAUGCCGCGUGUGUGAAGAAGGCCUUCGGGUUGUAAAGCACUUUUGUCCGGAAAGAAAUCCUUGGCUCUAAUACAGUCGGGGGAUGACGGUACCGGAAGAAUAAGCACCGGCUAACUACGUGCCAGCAGCCGCGGUAAUACGUAGGGUGCGAGCGUUAAUCGGAAUUACUGGGCGUAAAGCGUGCGCAGGCGGUUUGCUAAGACCGAUGUGAAAUCCCCGGGCUCAACCUGGGAACUGCAUUGGUGACUGGCAGGCUAGAGUAUGGCAGAGGGGGGUAGAAUUCCACGUGUAGCAGUGAAAUGCGUAGAGAUGUGGAGGAAUACCGAUGGCGAAGGCAGCCCCCUGGGCCAAUACUGACGCUCAUGCACGAAAGCGUGGGGAGCAAACAGGAUUAGAUACCCGAGUAGUCCCA